RNAcentral lists this ribosomal RNA (468 nucleotides) under uncultured bacterium. Its description in RNAcentral is "partial 16S ribosomal RNA". It matches the Rfam family "Bacterial small subunit ribosomal RNA", at positions 28 to 507 of the family's 1533-position model. The record is from RNAcentral.
GACGAACGCUGGCGGCGUGCUUAACACAUGCAAGUCGAACGGAAAGGCCCUGCUUUUGUGGGGUGCUCGAGUGGCGAACGGGUGAGUAACACGUGAGUAACCUGCCCUUGACUUUGGGAUAACUUCAGGAAACUGGGGCUAAUACCGGAUAGGAGCUCCUGCUGCAUGGUGGGGGUUGGAAAGUUUCGGCGGUUGUGGAUGGACUCGCGGCUUAUCAGCUUGUUGGUGGGGUAGUGGCUUACCAAGGCUUUGACGGGUGGCCGGCCUGAGAGGGUGACCGGCCACAUUGGGACUGAGAUAAGGCCCAGACUCCUACGGGAGGCAGCAGUGGGGAAUAUUGCACAAUGGGCGGAAGCCUGAUGCAGCAACGCCGCGUGCGGGAUGACGGCCUUCGGGUUGUAAACCGCUUUCGCCUGUGACGAAGCGUGAGUGACGGUAAUGGGUAAAGAAGCACCGGCUAACUACGUG